GGAUUAGAUAAGAAGGAAAAUAUUUUUAUUAUUAUUUUUUUAUAAAAUGAUUAAACUAGUUCGUAGUCAACUCAGCAACCGUUUCCCCGGCAACGGUGCCAAAAAUGCUUGUUGACACUUGCUAACACCACUUGAAUACUAGGUUGUCAUCCCCAGCAUGGCACUAGAGUGUACUAUGGUAUUUAUACGCACACAGAUAAUCCGCAAGCACACGGAUACCGUUGAAGCUUUUACCCGGUUAAAGGUUUUAUCGUAUCCACAGGGAAACGGGAGAACUGAUCUACGCUCUAACUUAACCAAGAUAAGUAAAUAGGUGUGAAUAGGAAAGAUGGUAGAAUCGAAUAAGAACAAUAUUAAAGGUAAGAUAACCGUGAGUGAUAAUAUGGGAAUAGAGAGUAGAGCAAUUCUAGUAUAUGGGCGAUGGUAGCAGAAUAG
RNAcentral lists this long non-coding RNA (435 nucleotides) under Sorghum bicolor (sorghum). Its description in RNAcentral is "long non-coding RNA (SBIC_LNC005254)". The record is from RNAcentral. Lineage: Eukaryota; Viridiplantae; Streptophyta; Magnoliopsida; Poales; Poaceae.